Hemicordylus capensis (graceful crag lizard) is the source of this 888-nucleotide long non-coding RNA. RefSeq lists it as uncharacterized. The transcript has 4 exons. Lineage: Eukaryota; Metazoa; Chordata; Lepidosauria; Squamata; Cordylidae. The record is from RefSeq and is a predicted model, not a curated record.
GCUCCGUACUCUGCACGAUCUGGCCAGUGGCCAGCGUUCGAUUGGGAGCCGGGAGUGUUUCGGCGUAGCGCGCUACUGCCUUAUUCCUCUAGAUCCCAGGCAAACAUGAGAGUGAAAGUUCCACACGCGGCCGAGGCACCCGGGGCGGCGAUUGGCUGUUCUCGUUCACCACGUGACCAGGCCUCCGGAGCUGCGAUUGGCUGAGAGCGGAGAGAGGGCGGAAGCCGAGAGGGCGGUGCGCGGAGCUUCUUUGAGCCAAGAGGCAACCAGGCCUUGCAUUUCAUUGUUGCACGGUGUGCAUUUUGCACUCUCGUAUUACAGAGGUUCUCCACACAGCAGGCUUUACCACAAGUUUUCUGCAAGGCCUUGCUGAAAACUCAAAGUUACCUCCAACACCCGACACAAAAAGCGAAUCCCCCGCACCAGAUAUAAAUCAGGUUACACUCUAGCGUGAGAAUCAACGUCGGGGUAAAACUGGCCGAUAUAUGAACACCCCCCCUCCGUCCCAGAGAUGCGAGAUAGAAGGCAAGCCCCGUGUGGAAAACUUCCGGGUGAGGGUUUUCUGCAAACGUUGACGCGUGAAACCAUACAACGACUCGGUAACCUAGAAUGCUGAGCAGUCUUAGCGGUUUGCAUGAUUCCUCCUCGACGUCCCGUACCACUAACCCACCAGUGCUUAAAAAGCCUCGCCUCACUGUGGGCGCCCAAAGGUGUGUGCUAUGCCUUAUGUGUAGAAAAGCAGCUCAGAAGUGUCUCCUUUUGCUCUGGGGGAGUUACAAGGCACAUUUAUUUAUGUAUGUAUUCGAUUUCUAGACCGCCCUUCCAAAAAUGGCUCAGGGCGCUUUGCACAGAGAAAUAACAAAUAAAGAAGAUGGCUCCCUGUCCCCA